RNAcentral lists this long non-coding RNA (658 nucleotides) under Populus trichocarpa (black cottonwood). Its description in RNAcentral is "long non-coding RNA (PTRI_LNC001143)". Lineage: Eukaryota; Viridiplantae; Streptophyta; Magnoliopsida; Malpighiales; Salicaceae. The record is from RNAcentral.
UCUGAACUGAAAAGCCGCCGCCCACACCAAAAAACAAAGAGCCAAAGACGAUUUAUCGUCUUCUCCCUUCCGCAUCUGUCUCUUCAUAGAUGCCCUUCCUUCACCUUCAAUUUUCAUCCUUCCUCUUCUCCCUUUCGUAUCUGUCUCAGUGUCUCUUAACUCUCUUCCUUCAAUUUGCAUCCUUCCUCUUCUCCCUUCUGCAUCUCCCGAAGAAAACCUCAGGCUUCUCUCUUCACUUGCAGGCUUGCAGCAUAACAACAAGGCUCCUCCAUUGAUAAGUGUAUCACUGUAAAUUUCUAGGCUAUGUUUUGGUGUGCGUUAGUCCUGCUCCCUUGCAUUUUGUUGGUGUCUUCAAAUAUGGGUUUAGUUUCAAUCUUCUUCAAUGUGGUCUAACCAUCUUCUAUGAACCAUGCACUUGCUAGCCUUAGAAAUUAAGAGGCAUCACUUGUACUUCACUAGUAACAUUUGUUCGAAUCAUGAUCUGAAUCUUUGAUAGCUCCAGCUUAUAUGAACACAAAGUGACUGUUGUAGUUUUAAUUUGGAGAUAGAAGUGAAGUUUCGAAAUCUGAAGCUUUGAACAACACCACUUUGAUCAGUAGGUUUUAUUGAAUGCAAUGCUUCACUUACAAAAAUUGCAGAAGUGCAGUUGAUUGGAGCU